Molecule: long non-coding RNA, 1664 nt
Organism: Papaver somniferum (opium poppy)
Lineage: Eukaryota; Viridiplantae; Streptophyta; Magnoliopsida; Ranunculales; Papaveraceae
Exons: 4
Source: RefSeq, a predicted model, not a curated record
CUCUCUCCAACUUUUCUUUCGUUCUAUCUUUCUCUAAAAACCAAAACCCCAAAUUAUCUUUCGUACUUUCUCUCGCUGUCUUUUCUACCACUCUAUCUCGGAUCUCCAGUGGUUCCUAUAUUUCUUUGAUUCGUUUCUAACUGGCAUGUCUGCUUUUCAUUAUUGUGUUUUGAUAUUCUUUGGUUUCAGAAUUUGUUGAUUCUGAUUUUGAUUGUUUUGAUUUCUUUUUUAAAGGGUUUAAUGGGUUGUUUUAGAAUGAAAUCAGUUAACUGGACACGGGAUGUGAUGACUGCGAUGGCUAAUUUGUUCCAGAGGCUAUCUAAAGGAAGUGUUAGAACGGAGAAGGAAAUCAUCUUGUGUUUUCAUUGAUGGAGACUAUUUCUCAUUUUCUUCACGUUAUUUUGUCAUAAAUAUGAUAAUCUCUCCCGGGCCACAAUAGUUGAUCAUAAUAGCCUCAAGGUAUAAAGAUGCAUUGGAAGUGUUUGUCGAAUUGUUUCAACGGGAUUUCGAAUUUUAUUUUGGGAUAAUGGACAUCUGUAAGUUGAUCUUUUCCUUAAUUAGAUCUUCCUGUAAGUAAUCUAUUCAGUCAGUAUUUGAUUAGGAAGGGUGCUUAUUUUUGUGCAAGUGAUUUAUGCUAAUUGGAAAAUGGUUUUUGGAUCCUUAACUGAUAAAGUUUGCUUUUAAUCAGAUUUAUGUUGAUAAUCGUCCACUGCCUUUUGUAUAAUCGAUUUUUUAUAUAUAUUGUGUACUCUGAGCUUAUACUUUUUCUUGCUCAUCUGGAUGAUACGAUGAAGAAUCAGCGACGGAACCAGACAUUUUAUCAAAUGGGGGCAAAUUCAUGUAAUAAACUUUUGUGCAUAAUAGCGAGUAAGCGGUCGAAGGCCGCUCGAUUUUCUUUUGACAAUUUUAUUUACCUUUUAGUUUUUAUUAAGUGAAAAUGGAAUCAUAAAAUAUUUUAAUUACAUUAAACAUAGAAAUUUAGAUGAAUUUUUAUUUUUAAAUCACACGUUUGAUAUAUUUUUAUUAAUUUAAUAUGAGUUUAAAUUCAAUUCUAUUUAGCAUAUCUGCCCCUGUAAGAUCCGUAAAUUACAAAAAUGCUAAGCUUAUAUCAAACGAAUUUCAAAAUUAAGUGGGGGCUGGGGACCCAUUUGUCCCCAUUUCCCUCCGUCCCUGCUCAUAUAAGUGGAUAAUAGGUCCCUGAGCCUCCCAGUGAAACGUUUGCCAAUGCAGAUAUAUGUAAGCAUGUUCAAAUGAGAAUGCGAAUUUAGUUUUGAUGAUGCGUUCUGAUUUUGUCUUGAUUUGAUUGGUAUAGACUCUGAAUAGUAGGUCCUUGAGCCUCUCGAUGAAAUACUUGCCAUCAAUUGGUAUUUUUCUGUUUGUGCUGACAUAAUGGAGUUCACUGGAGUAUGAAAACCAUCUAUUGCAGGCUGCAGUAAAAUCAACAAUUCCUGGAGUUACUUGCAGCAAAGCGAAAUGCAGUAGAAUAAGGGGUGUAAAAAGUUGGGGUAUAAAGAUCUUUGACUAAGAUACUACUGAAGGGAGAUUUAGGUUGAUGCAUAGGGGUAGUCAGUGUCCACAUAUCUUCUCCUAUGUGCUCAGUUUCUCCAUUUCAUAUUUCCAUGGACCAUGUACAAUGUUGUUGUAUUUGCUUUAGACCAUUUUGA